Molecule: ribosomal RNA, 440 nt
Filed under: uncultured bacterium
Lineage: Bacteria
Description: partial 16S ribosomal RNA
Rfam family: Bacterial small subunit ribosomal RNA
Source: RNAcentral
CCUACGGGUGGCAGCAGUGGGGGAUAUUGCACAAUGGGGGAAACCCUGAUGCAGCGACGCCGCGUGGGCGAAGAAGUAUUUCGGUAUGUAAAGCCCUAUCAGCAGGGAAGAAGAAAUGAUGGUACCUGAGUAAGAAGCACCGGCUAAAUACGUGACAGCAGCCGCGGUAAUACGUGUGGUGCAAGCGUUAUCCGGUUUUACUGGGUGUAAAGGGAGCGCAGGCGGCACGGCAAGCCUGUUGUAAAAGCCCGGGGCUCAACCGCGGGCCUGCAAUGGGAACUACCGGGCUGGAGUGCCGGAGAGGUAGGCGGAAUUCCUAGUGUAGCGGUGAAGUGCGUAGAUAUUAGGGGGAACACCAGGGGCGAAGGCGGCCUACUGGACGUUGACUGACGCAGGGGCGCGAGAGCGUGGAGAGCAAACAGGAUGAGAUACCCUGUGUC